This 216-nucleotide long non-coding RNA is filed under the name Musa acuminata (dwarf banana). RNAcentral describes it as "long non-coding RNA (MACU_LNC008276)". The record is from RNAcentral. Lineage: Eukaryota; Viridiplantae; Streptophyta; Magnoliopsida; Zingiberales; Musaceae.
CAUAGGCUAAUGAUUUAAGAGGCAGUGACUCUUUCUUCUUGUUCAAAGGGCAAUCUUUUAUUUUAUGAUCCAACUUUCUACAAGCAAAAUAGACUCCAGUCACCCGAAAACAUAAAUUUGUUUCAUAAUUUAACUUGUAAUUCACACAUGAUUGAGUCUUUUAUGGUGACUUCCCAUUUCAAAUCCAAAUGUCUUGACCCUCUUUUUAUUACUUUC